GACAGAGGGUGCAAACGUUGAUCGGAAUUACUGGGCGUAAAGCGAGUGUAGGCGGUUUGGUAAGUCGGAUGUGAAAGCCCCGGGCUCAACCCGGGAAGUGCACUCGAUACUGCCAAGCUAGAGUAUCGGAGAGGUUGGUGGAAUUCUCGAUGUAGAGGUGAAAUUCGUAGAUAUCGAGAGGAACACCGGUGGCGAAGGCGGCCAACUGGACGAAUACUGACGCUGAGACUCGAAAGCGUGGGGAGCAAACAGG
Molecule: ribosomal RNA, 253 nt
Filed under: uncultured bacterium
Lineage: Bacteria
Description: partial 16S ribosomal RNA
Rfam family: Bacterial small subunit ribosomal RNA
Source: RNAcentral